AAAAACAGAAACGUGGAUGGGAAAAUUCUGGGUCCCUCUCUCAUCUCAAAAACUGGUCCGCUCCCUCUCUCAUCUCAAAAAUUGGUAAUUGAUUUAUUAAAAGAGAAUUGGCCCCUUCUCACUCUAAGCCUCAAGAAUCUCUGCCUUUUCCCUCUCUCUUUGCUAGCAAUCGACGGCUUCGCGAGAAUUAGUCAGUUCUCCCUUCCUCAUCGAUUCUAAACCAAGGUAACAAAAUCAGAACUUUGGGUGAUGAUUUUCUUGUUUUAUGAGUUGAAAUUAGGCUUAGAUUCGUUCCAAGUUGUGAUUUGGUGUUCAAUAAUAGUUUUUUUAGGACUUUUACUUAAAAAGGGCCAAACCCUAUAAUCUGCACAAUUAUUGUGUUCUCAAGAUUAGGGCUUUUUAACUCUUAAUUAUAAUUUCAGUGACAAUAUUUUAUUUUAUGAACAAGGUGUUAAACAAAAAUCAGUAAGUAUAUGAAUUGACUCACUUUCGUAGCAUUGCGAAUUUUUUCCAAAACAGGGGCACGCAUAUGGAGCAAUAGUUGUGGUAAUAGUUUUUUCACUUCAAAGAUAAUUUUGAUCAACUUUAAUUUAUCUAAUAUUAAUUUUGUCAUUUAUAAGAAGUAUCCAUGGUUGUAUUAUAAGGAUUCUUCUAGCUCUAUUGGUAUUAUGAACUUGCUAAUUGGUUCUAUUCCAUUUUAAUGUCUUUUUCUGACUAUAUGCAAUAUAUGGCAUUGACAUUUGCCCAACUUGUGAUUUUUAGGUAACCAGUCACGAGACAAGCCUUUUAGCUAGAUGUCGAAGAGUUUAUUAAUCAUGUUACAAGACAAGCCUGGAUUCUUGGUUAUUGAUUUUAAUCAUGUUAUUGUAGAUGGAACAAAUAUUGUUAUUUGGGUUCAUUAAAUUUUGGUGUUAGUUUAUUGUAACCUUGUCCAAGAAGGACAUGUAAUCAUGA
Molecule: long non-coding RNA, 954 nt
Filed under: Panax ginseng (ginseng)
Lineage: Eukaryota; Viridiplantae; Streptophyta; Magnoliopsida; Apiales; Araliaceae
Description: long non-coding RNA (PGIN_LNC017789)
Source: RNAcentral